Molecule: ribosomal RNA, 253 nt
Filed under: uncultured bacterium
Lineage: Bacteria
Description: partial 16S ribosomal RNA
Rfam family: Bacterial small subunit ribosomal RNA
Source: RNAcentral
UACGUAGGGUGCAAGCGUUAAUCGGAAUUACUGGGCGUAAAGCGUGCGUAGGCGGUUGUGCAAGACAGAGGUGAAAUCCCCGGGCUUAACCUGGGAAUGGCCUUUGUGACUGCACGGCUAGAGUGUGUCAGAGGGGGGUAGAAUUCCACGUGUAGCAGUGAAAUGCGUAGAGAUGUGGAGGAAUACCGAUGGCGAAGGCAGCCCCCUGGGAUAACACUGACGCUCAGGCACGAAAGCGUGGGGAGCAAACAGG